RNAcentral lists this ribosomal RNA (433 nucleotides) under uncultured bacterium. RNAcentral describes it as "partial 16S ribosomal RNA". It matches the Rfam family "Bacterial small subunit ribosomal RNA", at positions 29 to 507 of the family's 1533-position model. The record is from RNAcentral.
AACGAACGCUGGCGGCAUGCCUAACACAUGCAAGUCGAACGAGACCUUCGGGUCUAGUGGCGCACGGGUGCGUAACGCGUGGGAACCUGCCCUUAGGUUCGGAAUAACACCCCGAAAGGGGUGCUAAUACCGGAUAAUGUAUGCGGACCAAAGAUUUAUCGCCUUUGGAUGGGCCCGCGUUGGUUUAGCUAGUUGGUAGGGUAAAAGCCUACCAAGGCGACGAUCCAUAGCUGGUCUGAGAGGAUGAUCAGCCACACUGGGACUGAGACACGGCCCAGACUCCUACGGGAGGCAGCAGUGGGGAAUAUUGGACAAUGGGCGAAAGCCUGAUCCAGCAAUGCCGCGUGAGUGAUGAAGGCCUUAGGGUUGUAAAGCUCUUUUACCCGGGAUGAUAAUGACAGUACCGGGAGAAUAAGCUCCGGCUAACUCCGUG